GGCUGUUGGGAAGAACAAACACCUGAUACAGUGCUGGACACGUGGUGAGGUUCCUGGCACCCUCCAUUCUACUGGCCGUACCUCCCCAGCACUGGGGCUGGCCUCUGUGACUGGACUCCUUCCUUCUACCUGGUGUAACAACAGAAUCGUAUUCAGCCUUACAAGGAAAGAAAUUCUUUUUUUUUUUUUUUUUUUCUUUUUUUGUGG
Long non-coding RNA from Mesoplodon densirostris (Blainville's beaked whale), 207 nucleotides. RefSeq lists it as uncharacterized. Lineage: Eukaryota; Metazoa; Chordata; Mammalia; Artiodactyla; Ziphiidae. The record is from RefSeq and is a predicted model, not a curated record. The transcript has 3 exons.